This is a non-coding RNA of Brassica napus (rape), 125 nucleotides long. The record is from Rfam. Lineage: Eukaryota; Viridiplantae; Streptophyta; Magnoliopsida; Brassicales; Brassicaceae.
GUCUUUAAGCGUAGGGUCCCUUAGCUUUUAACUAAAAAAGCUAAGGAAUGACCCUUAAAUAAGAGACUUGAGAGAAGUCCCUUAACGUUUUUAGUUAAAAGUUAAGGGAUCCUACGCUUAAGGGC